Molecule: ribosomal RNA, 253 nt
Filed under: uncultured bacterium
Lineage: Bacteria
Description: partial 16S ribosomal RNA
Rfam family: Bacterial small subunit ribosomal RNA
Source: RNAcentral
UACGGAGGGGGCUAGCGUUGUUCGGAAUUACUGGGCGUAAAGCGCACGUAGGCGGCUUUGCAAGUCAGAGGUGAAAGCCCGGGGCUCAACCCCGGAAUUGCCUUUGAGACUGCAUCGCUAGAAUUGUGGAGAGGUAAGUGGAAUUCCGAGUGUAGAGGUGAAAUUCGUAGAUAUUCGGAAGAACACCAGUGGCGAAGGCGACUUACUGGACACAUAUUGACGCUGAGGUGCGAAAGCGUGGGGAGCAAACCGG